AGAAAGGAAAAAUUUGGGACGGCAGAUAAGAAGUUACAGUAGCGCGAAUGCAACCCUGAUAGGGAAAUAUGCUAGACUUGAUUAUCCAAAUAGGUCAUGGGCAGCAAAGAAAAAUUGAGUCGGGCAGUGGAUCCGAGUCGACCUUCGUAGGUACGGAUUAGUAGCAGGCCUAAUAACACAGAGAAGACCAUUAUCUGAUCAGUGGGUGACACCAUACAAGGUUCAAUGUGGAAAAACAACGAAGACCUUGAAAUUUGGUUGAGAGAAUUCGGAAGAUAAACUGUUCAAAGGAAACUGGGACCGUAGCACAAAAGUUGUGACCAAGUUCCCGCAGCCCAUGUAUUGUCGCUUUAUACGCAUUUAUCCACAAACAUGGUACAAGCACAUGAGUAUGAGAUUCGAUGUAAUUUCUAGAGUAUGUGCAGACUAUACCACCGAAGCUUA
This is a non-coding RNA of Styela clava, 444 nucleotides long. The record is from RefSeq and is a predicted model, not a curated record. Lineage: Eukaryota; Metazoa; Chordata; Ascidiacea; Stolidobranchia; Styelidae.